UACAUGGGGUGCAAACGUUGCUCGGAAUUAUUGGGCGUAAAGCGCACGUAGGCGGUUCGUUAAGUCGGAUGUGAAAGCCCUCGGCUCAACUGAGGAAGUGCACCCGAAACUGGCGAGCUAGAGUACGAAAGAGGAUCGCGGAAUUCCCGGUGUAGAGGUGAAAUUCGUAGAUAUCGAGAGGAACACCGGUGGCGAAAGGCGGCCAACUGGACGAAAUACUGACGCUGGAGACUCGAAAGCCGUGGGGGAGCAAACAGG
RNAcentral lists this ribosomal RNA (258 nucleotides) under uncultured bacterium. RNAcentral describes it as "partial 16S ribosomal RNA". It matches the Rfam family "Bacterial small subunit ribosomal RNA", at positions 524 to 776 of the family's 1533-position model. The record is from RNAcentral.